CCCUUAGAUGUUCUGGGCCGCACGCGCGCUACACUGAAUGGAUCAACGUGUUUUCCCUUCCCGAGAGGGACGGGUAACCCGCUGAACCCCAUUCGUGGUAGGGAUCGGAGCUUGCAAUUGUUCUCCGUGAACCAGGAAUUCCCAGUAAGCGCAAGUCAUAAGCUUGCGUUGAUUACGUCCCUGCCCUUUGUACACACCGCCCGUCGCACCUACCGAUUGAAUGGUCCGGUGAAAUCUCGGGACGGCGGCUUGGUCGCUUGCGUCCGACUGCUGAAACUUGAUUAAACCAUAUCAUUUAGAGGAAGGUGAANUCGUANCA
This 319-nucleotide ribosomal RNA is filed under the name uncultured eukaryote. Its description in RNAcentral is "partial 18S ribosomal RNA". It matches the Rfam family "Eukaryotic small subunit ribosomal RNA", at positions 1470 to 1796 of the family's 1831-position model. The record is from RNAcentral.